UGUCUACUGUCUAGUUUAUGCUUUUGAUACAGUUGUAAUAACAAUGAUUAUUAAGAUUUCUGAUUACAAAGAAAACGAAGAAGGCCUACCACAUGAAGACCAUAGUUAACCAUUUGUUGGCCAAAAAUAAACAAACUAUCAUAUCUAAAAAUGAAAAAGGUAGUUAUACAGAAAUGAGACAUUUAACUAUAAAUAAUCUAUUCAUAGAAUUCUAAAUAUUCUUAAUUACAUUUAAAUAAAAAAAAAAUUCAAAACAUCAUAGGCAAGUAGUAAAAAAAUGUACAAAUUAAUAAAUUGAAAUUAUAGAAUGUUUAGUACAAUUGGAAUAAGUUAGCGCAUAAUAGAUAAACAGAUA
Molecule: long non-coding RNA, 355 nt
Filed under: Cimex lectularius (bed bug)
Lineage: Eukaryota; Metazoa; Arthropoda; Insecta; Hemiptera; Cimicidae
Description: uncharacterized LOC106661411, transcript variant X1
Source: RNAcentral